This 79-nucleotide ribosomal RNA is filed under the name Sporosarcina sp. P12(2017). RNAcentral's name for it is "partial 16S ribosomal RNA". It matches the Rfam family "Bacterial small subunit ribosomal RNA", at positions 1 to 77 of the family's 1533-position model. Lineage: Bacteria; Bacillati; Bacillota; Bacilli; Caryophanales; Caryophanaceae. The record is from RNAcentral.
CUCUUAUGGAGAGUUUGAUCCUGGCUCAGGACGAACGCUGGCGGCAUGCCUAAUACAUGCAAGUCGAGCGAACUGUUGG